This is a non-coding RNA of Schizosaccharomyces pombe (fission yeast), 699 nucleotides long. NCBI's taxonomy places the organism in Eukaryota, Fungi, Ascomycota, Schizosaccharomycetes, Schizosaccharomycetales, Schizosaccharomycetaceae. The record is from the annotation of a GenBank genome assembly.
AUCUGACCUGAGAUACCAUACUAUCGGUAAAAUACGUUAAGAAAACAGCAUACACUGUGUUUGAUCUCAUAAUGCACAUCCGACCGACUGCAUAUGCUAAUACAUUGCGUGAGUUGCGUACAAUGUUACCUCUUCAUAAUUUGAUUACAACACACAAGAGAAGAAAGCAGAACGACUGAUGUGGGGGAUUUGAGUCGGAAGUGGGAAACCGAGAAAAACACUGUGUGUACUAACUCGCAUACUAAAUGCACACACAAACGCUAGCUCAGCCGGGGUGUCAUAUACAAUAGUAAAAACACACUACAUUUUUUAUUUUUUCAUUUUAAUUCUCGAAUACUCUUCUACUCACUUUAAGCGACCUUUCGCAUCAUAUUCUCCGCCUUUAAACCCCAAAAAUACAUGUGAGAAGACAGUUGUACGCCAGCUCACAACAACAUGAUGCUGAUCGCACAUCUUUGGACUGUAAAAAGAGGCACCGAUGCAGUCAGUAGCGGAGCAAAAUGGAGAACCAUGGUGAUGAUGACUUUUUUUCAACGAGAGAUUUAAGGCGAUAGGUGGGGUCGAAAUAUAGCAUGUAUAAAGAUGUGCAGGGCAGGGAUGAAAAAUUAAACUGACGGUUGGGAAUGAAUGAGAAAAAAAAGAAAUUAGUUUAAAUUAUAAUAAAAUAGAAUAAAAUAAAUGGAAUUCAAUAAUAGAGAA